This 468-nucleotide ribosomal RNA is filed under the name uncultured bacterium. RNAcentral describes it as "partial 16S ribosomal RNA". It matches the Rfam family "Bacterial small subunit ribosomal RNA", at positions 28 to 507 of the family's 1533-position model. The record is from RNAcentral.
GACGAACGCUGGCGGCGUGCUUAACACAUGCAAGUCGAACGAAAAGGCCCUGCUUUUGUGGGGUGCUCGAGUGGCGAACGGGUGAGUAACACGUGAGUAACCUGCCCUUGACUUUGGGAUAACUUCAGGAAACUGGGGCUAAUACCGGAUAGGAGCUCCUGCUGCAUGUUGUGGGUUGGAAAGUUUCGGCGGUUGGGGAUGGACUCGCGGCUUAUCAGCUUGUUGGUGGGGUAGUGGCUUACCAAGGCUUUGACGGGUAGCCGACCUGAGAGGGUGACCGGCCACAUUGGGACUGAGAUACGGCCCAGACUCCUACGGGAGGCAGCAGUGGGGAAUAUUGCACAAUGGGCGGAAGCCUGAUGCAGCAACGCCGCGUGCGGGAUGACGGCCUUCGGGUUGUAAACCGCUUUCGCCUGUGACGAAGAGUGAGUGACGGUAAUGGGUAAAGAAGCACCGGCUAACUACGUG